RNA transcript from Penaeus indicus, 4767 nucleotides. It is a transcript of the gene named actin-binding protein WASF2-like, with no coding region annotated. Lineage: Eukaryota; Metazoa; Arthropoda; Malacostraca; Decapoda; Penaeidae. The record is from RefSeq and is a predicted model, not a curated record. The transcript is spliced from 5 exons.
AGUUCAAGUUGAGUCCUUCGGGAUGCCAUGGCACCUUGGAUCACCGAGUUCCCCUGAUCAUCGGCUCCAUCCCUCUGCGAGAACACUUCACCAUGUUCCGGCCAGCAGGUCCUUCCCAGCCCCAGCCAUUGCCAUCAACCUCAUACCCAACACCAAUGCCACCCUCAGCUCCUCCUGCUGGUUUCAAUGUGUCUCCAUAUAAUCCCAAUAUCCCACCUACACAGCCUGGAUAUGUGGCUCCCACAGCUCCAGUAUUUCCAGGGGUCCUGCAUUAUCCCGAUUUGCCUCCGCCAUCGUAUAACGAGUGCAUGUUUGGGGCGACUGGCAUUGCGGAUGACAGUGAUGAUGAGAGUGGCGGCAAGUUUGCUCCAAAAUAUGCAUCUUAUAAUCUUUCAAUGGGUCUAGCAGUAGCUCCACCUCCAUAUAAUGAAUCAAUGCUUCCUCCUGAAAUGGCUGAGGGAAAUGCAGUUUUUGCCCCAGGUGUCAUGAGUGGACAACCAUAAAUAGUGAGAUUUGGAGGUGAAGGCAACUUUUCAUGUAGUUAAAGGCAUGUACAAGAGGGAGAAUUUGAAGAUGGAGAGAUAUGAAAAUUGGAGACAAGAAUAAGAAGAAAAAGAAAACAAGGCAUAAAACAGUGUCUGUCUUAUGAGUUUAAAUCUAGUCCAUACAACUGAACCAAGUCCAUGAGGGCAAGCGAGUAAGUUGCUUUUUCUGGACUUCUUACUUGUGUCUGUGCGAAAAACAACAAAGUGCCCCUGCUGGGAGUGUAGCCAGUUCACCAGGCAGUGACAAGCAGUGUUAUCAAUGGUCCUUAGACAGUAUUCUUGCCAGUUGCAUAGUAGCCAUUGAAUUUUAAACCGAUCAUGCUCAGGAUACUUUUUAUUGUGCUGUUAUUGCCGUCAGUUGUAUGGAUAGGGUUCUAGAUGUGUAUUCUGUUUUUAGUUCUGACAUUCCUCUAUACAGCAUUUUGGUCUUCUUACUGGCUGAUCAUGAUAUUAAUUUUAUGCAUAUGGAUGAUUUGUACUUUUUUACAUUGACUGUAAAUCUGAGAGAAUGUUAUAGUUAUUGGAUUUUUAAAAUUAAUUAUUGAAAGGAUAGUUUUUUUACAUUUGUAAUGAUGAAUAUGCACACUUUGAAAUAAUAUAUUUCUUUGCUUUGGUGUAUACAAAGUGAUCCUCUGCAAGACUUUUCAUGAUUAAAAAUAAUGUAGAGAUUAUAGAAAAUUUCUAGGUCUCUGGAUUACAUUAUGUGUCAAUUUGAGAUUGAUAACCAUUAUUGAGUGCCAUGCACCCAACUGUUCACUAAUAAACACAGGAGCAAGGCUAGAGAUGAGUAAAGGUGCUUGUUUUAAAAAUUUUCUUCUCUCCUCAAAUAGUGGAGAAACAUUAAUCUAUUAGCAACAAGCAGAUUAUAUUUCUUUACCAGUACUAGACAUAUUUUCUUUAACACUGAAAUUAUAUUUUAAAAAAAUAGAUAUACAUAAAGACUCUUAACCUAUAUUGGUUUCUGGUCAGAUGUCAAAAUAUUACAUAGUCUGUAGGCAUCACUAGUGGAUUUAUUUUUUUUUUGUGAUGUUAAUAUUUGAUAACAUGAAUGAGUAUUCUGUUUUAUUCCUCUGAUAACAGAAGUAUAGGGGUUAUCACACAAAAAUAAGUUUUUUGUCCAUUUUAUAUAACCUAGUAUCAAUUCGCUCAUAUAUUGUGUAUUUGCUAUCACACUGGCCUGCCUGCUUCACUAUAUACAUACAUAUAUUUGUAAAGAACAGAAAUGUCCCUUUCAAAGCUUUCAUAGAUCUGUCUACAUUAUAACAGGCCAAGAAUUAUGAUACAUAUUUUGUAUACUGUACAUCCUCAUUUUUUUUGUUUUUGUUUUUGUAUGUAUAAAGUUUUGCAGAAGUUAGGCAAGUAAAGCUUAGAUCUGGCUCCCCAAGUUCCCAAGAUACUGCCCCUAGGCCAGGUCUGAAGAGUAUUACUGUCUUUACUGUACUACUGUCUUUUAUUAUAAUCUUGAUGAUAAUAUGAGAAACACUGUAUGUCAGGACCUACCCAUUUAUAUGAUGAAUUAUAUUUUGAUAAGAAAAAAAGAUAACAAUCACAGUUUUUAAAAUAUAAGCACCAUACUUUUGCACUUGACUUAAAAAAAAAAAAAAAAAUACAAAGUGACUCAUUGGACAUUUUUGUGGAUGUGCUCUGAUCUACAGAUUUACAGAAAUUACAUGAUUGGCAUGUAGAUUGUACAUGUAAUAAUGUCAUAGAUAUUUAUGGAGUUUACAGAGUUUACCAGCUGAAUAUUAUGUAGGUUUGUGAUUAUUUUUUCAAGUUUUGUCUUUUCUUUUCAAUUUGUGAUUUUUUUUGUUGUAUUAUUAUUAAUAUUAUUCUUUUUUUUUUGCAUUGGCCAUCUAAUCAUGUUAUGCAUUCACUAUAUAUUUUUUGUUUUAAACUUGCAUGUAAUACUCAUCAUCAAGUUGGUUUUACAUAUGCUAUGUAUAGAUUAAUAUUUCCCAUUAUUAUUAGUAGUAAAUUAACACAAUUAUUUCUUCCCUGAUCUUUUCAACAAAUAUAUACCAAUCUACCUCAACUAUGUGGACCAACACAUUAUAAUAUUCACAUUAACAACUUUACAGAGUUCUGAUACGUACAAUAUUUUUGAGGAAAAAAAAUCUAGCUGGCUGUAUAGACAAUACUGAUUUUGUCAUAAAGUGGCUUCAAAAGGAAUUUGUGGUGGCAGUUAUUGAUUAGUUUAUUUGAUAAACAAUUAUGCAACAGAGUUUGUUGUAAUACAAAAGAAAACUUACAAUUUUUGAAUAUUUAUAAUAUAAUUACACCAAAAUGUACUAGAUGGUUAACUCUCAAAAUGUCUCAAAGUUUAGUAUGAACACUUUUAAAGUUGUUACUCAAUUUGUAAACAUGAAUUGUAAACCCAUGCUAUAUAAGUGCAUUACGAAGUGUCUUAAAGAUAACCAAAUUCCAUCCUAGCUGCCACAUGUAUAUUACUCCUUUGUUUUUGUAUAGGGUACAAAAAAAAAAGGUUCUAUUUCACAUAGAUGAUGAGUCAUGUAGAAAUUAGGGUAAAUGUCUUGUAAGUACAAAGCUACCAAUUUGCAGAAACCUACCCUACUUCCCAUACCUCAAAUGCCAAAUUAUGCAAAAAUUGUACAGUAGACAAAAAUAAUGCAAAAGAUCAAUAGGUUAAAUACGUUUUGUUACUAUUGACACUAUCUAUUAGGGUAGAUAUAUUCAUUUUUUCUAUAAUUAAGAAGAUUUUUGUAACAGUCAUAAUGACUAGCUGUAUGCAUAGAGAUGUAGUUAUUUCAGAAAAUUGUAGUUAUUUUACUAAAACUACGUUAGAGACAGUUCUCUCUUCUUUUCCUAUUUUUCCCUUCUAACCUAUUCAUUUAUUUACUUACAUAUUUCUCAUCUCACUGACUGCUUUAUGUUUUAUAUAGUAUAUAAAGAGCAUUUGUAUCAGAAUUAUGUUGUCAGCCAGGCCUUGACUGAAUAUGUAGCUUUCAUAUGUUCACUGCCAGUUGUAGCUGAUUGCUGAUUGAUUGAUAGAUAUUUCUGGUACAACUGUUUGAUAGCAUUAUUGUAUAUUAUGAAAGAAAAACUCGUUGUAAACAGAUGAAAUGCAUCUGAUAUGUAAAUUUUAUUCAGAUAUAUAUUCCAGAUCUAACAGUAUUUGUCAUCAUGAAAUAGUAUAUAUUGUUUAAAUUGUGUAAUAAUUGCAUAACAUUUCAUUUUCAUAGAAAUAAACUUAGUAAAUUUUGCGGUCCAGUGAGAAAAAUAUUUUAAAUAUUUGAUUUUAAUAUGAACAAUACUUAGUUUUUACUCUGGGAGUUGUUAUUUGAAAGAUACUCUGAAUAAAAGUGCAUGCAUAGUAUUUUACUAUGUGCAGUGUUUAUGAGACUAUAAUUGGUCACUUUUAUUCAUAAUUUAAGUUUAGUGAUACUCAUUAAAAUAUAUUUUGAAAUUAUAUACAUUACUGACAGGAAUAGUAUAAUAUAUUUUCUGUCUCUAUAUGUGUAAUGUAAAGUAUAAAUAAAAAGUUUGAUGUAUUUAGUUUUGUGUGCAAUGUCACUGGGACUGUGGAAGUGUGAAUGCAGUAAAAAUUAUUUUUUAAUGCAUUUGUAUUAUUAAUAUAUAAUGCAUUUAUAAUUCAUCUAAGUUUCAUUUUAUAUGUUUUAUAAACUGAAGUGCAUUCAAUUUGAGGAUUAUAAAGACAAAAUAUAAUUUAUACUAAGAUUACACAGGUUUUUUUAAUUAAUGUCACAGUAUUCAGUAUUCUGAUAAACAGCAUAUUCUAUAAAUUUAUUUUUUUUUAAUCCUUUUUUGAGUUAUAUCUAAAUUUGUUCCUAAACACUGUAGUAUCAGUUGAUUACUCAUAUUUUUUUUUCAUUUGAAGAUGUAAAAGGUGAUAGAAGAUGGUCGGGGUAGUAUUCAUUUAUUUCUUAAUUUCUAGCCAUAUUUACUUAAUAUAGGGAGAAAUUUGCCAAGAGAGCAUUUAGGGUUGUGGUAUCCACCUCCCUUUUUCAAUACCACUGCAGAGUGUGCUGUGUUUAUUGAUCAAAUGCAAUUGUUUCUCAGGUAUAAUUGUUUGUCUAUCCAGGUUUCUAAUUUCUCUUAUUGUAAAUCUAUUUUAACACUAUUUGUAUUUGAUUGUAGUGGUCAUUUCCAUUUAUAUGGAUUUGUAAUUAUUUUAGUGCAUUUCGUACUCCUUUCACCUGGUGAUAUCUUGUGGGUAAAUAAAUAUACUGUUGUGUGUUUAAAA